CCUGCCGUCUAGCCUGUAAUAGCGUAGACCGAGUAUCGAUACGACUAGAUAAAAGAAAGGAAUAAAGACGGGGAAAAACUAAACUCAACAUCAAGCGGAAGCAAAUAACAAAUCAUGUUAAUUCUAGCAACAUAAUAACCCUUCAAAACAUAAGCAUCAAAAACUUUAUAAAAGUCAAAGUAUCAAGAUUCUCGUCAACGUUUACAAAGGAGGCAUAGCUCAAUAUUUACAAAGAUUCAUAUUAUGCAGAGUAUCGCAGCAAAAGGUGAACAUACUAUAUGUAUGAAGACAUAUAGCUGAGAGUAUAUCACUUUAUUAAGUCUAAAACAAACUCCAAAAUCAUAAUGUUACCAUAUGAAAUGAAAAUACGGUAGAUAGUAAACAUCCGAAACAACAACCCCGCCAGCACCAGGCCAUCCU
This 420-nucleotide long non-coding RNA is filed under the name Salvia miltiorrhiza (redroot sage). Its description in RNAcentral is "long non-coding RNA (SMIL_LNC000332)". The record is from RNAcentral. Lineage: Eukaryota; Viridiplantae; Streptophyta; Magnoliopsida; Lamiales; Lamiaceae.